RNAcentral lists this ribosomal RNA (377 nucleotides) under uncultured Alphaproteobacteria bacterium. Its description in RNAcentral is "bacterial SSU rRNA". It matches the Rfam family "Bacterial small subunit ribosomal RNA", at positions 333 to 726 of the family's 1533-position model. Lineage: Bacteria; Pseudomonadati; Pseudomonadota; Alphaproteobacteria. The record is from RNAcentral.
GAUCUCCUACGGGAGGCAGCAGUGGGGAAUAUUGGACAAUGGGCGCAAGCCUGAUCCAGCCAUGCCGCCUGAGUGAUGAAGGCCUUAGGGUUGUAAAGCUCUUUCGCUAGGGAAGAUAAUGACGGUACCUAGUAAAGAAGCCCCGGCUAACUUCGUGCCAGCAGCCGCGGUAAUACGAAGGGGGCUAACGUUGUUCGGAUUUACUGGCGUAAAGCGCACGUAGGCGGAUUAGUCAGUUAAGGGGUGAAAUUUCCGGAGCUCAACUCCGGAACUGCCUUUAAUACUGCUAGUCUUGAGAUCGGGAGAGGUGUAUGGAACUCCUAGUGUAGAGGUGGAAUUCGUAGAUAUUAGGAAGAACACCAGUGGCGAAGGCGGCA